AUGACGAUGUCGUCACCGGCGUCCACCCACCUCCUCCGCCCCGCGCCCGCGGCGCCCCUGCUCCCUCGCCGCGCCUCCGUGCAGCUCUCCCGCGUCGCCGGCGGAGCUGCGCCAAGGAGCAGGAGACGGAGCGGCCGCCUGGCGGUGGUCCGCGCGGCCACCGCGGAGGUGGCCGAGGCCGCCGGCGCCCCCGCCUACACCACCGAGUCCCUCAUCCUAUACUUCAAGGCCGAGGGCACCAUGGAGGAGAGGGCUGUUCCCAAGAUCACCCAGGCCCUCGAGGGGAUGGAUGGCGUCACUGACCUGGAGGUGCUUAUCGAAGAAGGCAUCGGAAGUGUUGUGCCACAUUGUACCAUGAGAAGUGUACUCUGCAAGCACAAGAAAAGACUGCCUUACAAGCAGAGAGAGCAUUAUCGUCAGAUAUUAACGAAGGCGACAACAGUCCAAGCUACCGGGGUCGCCUCAAACCUGGUGGAAGCCAUCCAGGGAGUUGGUUUCAAGCUGCAAACUCUGAGCCUCAGCUUCGAGGACUUUGACAAGGCGGACGCUGCUGCUGCAGUCACAGGAGAAGGAGCAGACGUCCAAGCCAGCGAGUGA
Molecule: ribosomal RNA, 597 nt
Filed under: Triticum aestivum (bread wheat)
Lineage: Eukaryota; Viridiplantae; Streptophyta; Magnoliopsida; Poales; Poaceae
Description: partial small subunit ribosomal RNA
Source: RNAcentral